This 383-nucleotide ribosomal RNA is filed under the name uncultured eukaryote. RNAcentral's name for it is "partial 18S ribosomal RNA". It matches the Rfam family "Eukaryotic small subunit ribosomal RNA", at positions 592 to 976 of the family's 1831-position model. The record is from RNAcentral.
CAAUAGCGUAUAUUAAAGUUGUUGCAGUUAAAAAGCUCGUAGUUGGAUUUCUGGUGGGAGCGAUCGGUCUGGCGCUUAGCGCGAGUACUUGCAUCGUCUCCGGCCAUCCUUGGGGAGAGUCUGUCUGGCAUUAAGUUGUCGGGCAGAGGAUCCUCAUCGUUUACUGUGAAAAAAUUAGAGUGUUCAAAGCAGGCUUAUGCCGUUGAAUAUAUUAGCAUGGAAUAAUAAGAUAGGACUUUGGUACUAUUUUGUUGGUUUGCGCACCAAAGUAAUGAUUAAUAGGGACAGUUGGGGGUAUUCGUAUUCUGUUGUCAGAGGUGAAAUUCUUGGAUUUACGGAAGACGAACUACUGCGAAAGCAUUUACCAAGGAUGUUUUCAUUAA